GAUGAACGCUGGCGGCGUGCCUAAUACAUGCAAGUCGAGCGAACAGACGAGGAGCUUGCUCCUCUGACGUUAGCGGCGGACGGGUGAGUAACACGUGGAUAACCUACCUAUAAGACUGGGAUAACUUCGGGAAACCGGAGCUAAUACCGGAUAAUAUAUUGAACCGCAUGGUUCAAUAGUGAAAGACGGUUUUGCUGUCACUUAUAGAUGGAUCCGCGCCGCAUUAGCUAGUUGGUAAGGUAACGGCUUACCAAGGCAACGAUGCGUAGCCGACCUGAGAGGGUGAACGGCCACACUGGAACUGAGACACGGUACAGACUCCUACGGGAGGCAGCAGUAGGGAAUCUUCCGCAAUGGGCGAAAGCCUGACGGAGCAACGCCGCGUGAGUGAUGAAGGUCUUCGGAUCGUAAAACUCUGUUAUUAGGGAAGAACAAAUGUGUAAGUAACUAUGCACGUCUUGACGGUACCUAAUCAGAAAGCCACGGCUAACUACGUG
Molecule: ribosomal RNA, 497 nt
Filed under: uncultured bacterium
Lineage: Bacteria
Description: partial 16S ribosomal RNA
Rfam family: Bacterial small subunit ribosomal RNA
Source: RNAcentral